AGCUUUGCACAGCAGCAGUAUCGUAGCCAAUGAGGUUUAUCCGAGGCGGGAUUAUUGCUAAUUGAAAACUGUUUUUCUUUCGUGU
This 85-nucleotide small nuclear RNA is filed under the name Mus pahari (shrew mouse). RNAcentral's name for it is "snRNA (MGP_PahariEiJ_G0033158.1)". It matches the Rfam family "U4 spliceosomal RNA", at positions 1 to 85 of the family's 138-position model. Rfam says of the family: U4 small nuclear RNA (U4 snRNA) is a component of the major U2-dependent spliceosome. The structure of U4 snRNA from yeast and human has been reported. U4 snRNA presents a k-turn RNA motif in the 5p-SL related to recognition of Snu13 protein. Lineage: Eukaryota; Metazoa; Chordata; Mammalia; Rodentia; Muridae. The record is from RNAcentral.